This is a long non-coding RNA of Amphiprion ocellaris (clown anemonefish), 1425 nucleotides long. NCBI's taxonomy places the organism in Eukaryota, Metazoa, Chordata, Actinopteri, Pomacentridae. The record is from Ensembl.
GUUUCCACAAUUUAAAGCCAAACUCCCUGGAUUGUAUAAGGAUUUCAACACAAAUGAAAUGAGACAUAGCUGUAAAUUAAUCAGCACUCAUUUAUGUAACCAGAAAGUGUGUUGACAACCCACUAUGAACAUGACUGACCUGUUUUUCUGAGGAAAUCCCCGUGUAGUGAGUGGGCGAAGGGGAAGUGGAUGCUUGUGUGUGUAUAUAUAAUGAUCCCAAACGCCAGUCAGCAGCAGGAGUCUCACUGGAGGAGUCAGUAUGAAGCUGUUGUCUGUCGUCAAAGCUUUGGGGUCUGUGUGUCUGCUGUUUGCAGAUGGAGCUCCAGUUUCUGAGGAUGAAUCUCCAGAGAUCAUCGGGCCGAAUCGUGUCCAAAUCAAAGCUCAUCCAGGUGAGCCGCUCCUCCUUCACUGCGGUGCAUUUACAAACUGUGAGGAUGAUGUGAGCGUUAUCUACUGGCUCGUCAAUGACUCUUUCCCUGAAGAAACGGUCAACAGCGACAGAAUAGUGGAAUCAAGCGAAUCAACUUUCGAGGAGGGUACAGUCCUACAGAGGAGUUUGCUCUUGAAGACCGUCACCUCAGAGGAUCUCACAUCCAACUUCACAUGCGUUGUGACAAAUGCCAUGGGAAUGGCCCAGAAGUGCAUAACAUUAACAGCAAAGACUGAUGGCUUUAGCAGUAACUGACAGAAAACACACAGAAUAGCACUGCUGUAAAAAGUGGAUUUCUGUGUGCAGGGUUAUAUCUUGCAGAAAAUUGCCAAGAGUUAACGUAUGUGAAAUUGCUGCUUUUGUGUUGUACUGAAAUCCGGGCUGCAUUUGAUUAUGGCAAAUCCUUACCCUUUGAUAUGUAGGCCAGUAAACGUAAAAAUGACUCCUAAAUCUCAAGGAAGGAAUAAUACAAGGAAACCAGUCAACAGGUGGACACUAGGUCCCUUAAUGCUGCUUUUGAGGAUCCCCUCCUGAUCCAAGGAAACAAAACAUCCAGAGGCAACACUUUAUGUGGAACUGAACACACCCAUUAUACCUGCAGUAAACUGCCUACAUUACUAUGACUCUACAAGGCACUUUCUACCAAUUCCAGACUGAUACAGAAUAUUGCACCAGUAAUUCGCUGAAAUUAUUUUGUGUGUAUCAUUGUACUGUUCGCUGACAGAAAUCUCAACUUUGUAUGCUUUUAAACCAUAAUGAGAAUUUACAUUAUCAUCAAUUAAAUCUUUCAUAAACUCAUGUAUACGCUGCUGAUAAAUCAUUGUGGCUGUUUCACUUGAGAUUUACCAUUAAUCCUACAUUGUAGUUGGUGUUUAUUUCAAGCAGGUAUAGAAUCAGUAUCACUGAACACUUUCAUAGGUGCAGUCGAUACAGGUGUCCACUGUAAUGUGUCAUUUCUGAGGGUGGUCUAUUUAAUAUGUUUUUGUGUUGUAUGC